Molecule: ribosomal RNA, 500 nt
Filed under: uncultured bacterium
Lineage: Bacteria
Description: partial 16S ribosomal RNA
Rfam family: Bacterial small subunit ribosomal RNA
Source: RNAcentral
AUUGAACGCUGGCGGCAGGCUUAACACAUGCCAGUCAAGCGGGGGAAGGUAGCUUGCUACUGGACCUAGCGGCGGACGGGUGAGUAGUGCUUAGGAUUCUGCCUAUUAGUGGGGGACAACAUCUCGAAAGGGAUGCUAAUACCGCAUACGUCCUACGGGAGAAAGCAGGGGAUCUUCGGACCUUGCGCUAAUAGAUGAGCCUAAGUCGGAUUGGCUAGUUGGUGGGGUAAAGGCCUACCAAGGCGACGAUCUGUAGCGGGUCUGAGAGGAUGAGCCGCCACACUGGGACGGCGACACGGCCCAGACUCCUACGGGAGGGAGCAGUGGGAAGAUUGGACAAUGGGGGGAACCCUGAUCCAGCCUUGCCGCGUGUGUGAAGGAGGCCUUAUGGUUGUAAAGCACUUUAAGCGAGGAGGAGGCUACUGAGACUAAUACUCUUGGAUAGUGGACGUUACUCGCGGAAUAAGCACCGGCUAACUCUGUGCCAGCAGCCGCGGUAA